CUGGAAACCACUGCUUCCUAAUGAUAAAAAGAUACAUUUUUCAAAUUGAUUGACUAGGAACCACAUAAUGGCUUUUGACUUCAAAAAAUGGAAGUUAAUAAAUAAACCUUCCCUGUUAGCACUCAGAAAGGUCCUAAAAGAGUCUUAUCUGUGCAUAUGGGUAUGCCAAUAAAUUUUAUUACUGGCAGUUUCACAGGGAAGUUUUAUAGCUAUGUAGGUAGACCUACUUUAAAUCAAAAUGGAACACUUUACAUUGGAAAAUAAAAUCCUCUUUUGAAUAAAUGACAGAUUUUAAAAUAAUGUAAAAAACAUGAAUGUAAAUGAUUUUAAAUAUUAGUUCUCCAGAUUCGAAUUUUCUUCUUCAAAAAAGUUACUGAGCUCUGAUAGCACUUUCAUUUUUGUGAAGGUUACUCAGCUAUAGUUAAUUCCCAUUUUCUCCUUCUGAAGAGUAUGACAAAGGGACUUUUAAGAGCUAAUCAAAUAAACAACGAGUGUUCAAAAAUAACUUAAUUAUCAUAUUUCAUUGAAUAGUACAUUUUGUCAAGUUUUUUGUUUGCUUGUUGCCAAGUCAGAUGUUCAGGCCUGUGUUCUGUUUAUAGAAUGUGUGAUCUGAAAGCCCAAACAGCACUGGUCAUUUUGACAGCCUUAAUGAGUCAUUUAGAUUGGC
Molecule: long non-coding RNA, 667 nt
Filed under: Bos taurus (domestic cattle)
Lineage: Eukaryota; Metazoa; Chordata; Mammalia; Artiodactyla; Bovidae
Description: long non-coding RNA NONBTAT011738
Source: RNAcentral